RNAcentral lists this ribosomal RNA (253 nucleotides) under uncultured bacterium. RNAcentral describes it as "partial 16S ribosomal RNA". It matches the Rfam family "Bacterial small subunit ribosomal RNA", at positions 524 to 776 of the family's 1533-position model. The record is from RNAcentral.
UACGUAGGGCGCAAGCGUUGUCCGGAAUUAUUGGGCGUAAAGAGCUCGUAGGCGGCUUGUCGCGUCGGUUGUGAAAGCCCGGGGCUUAACUCCGGGUCUGCAGUCGAUACGGGCAGGCUAGAGUGUGGUAGGGGAGAUCGGAAUUCCUGGUGUAGCGGUGAAAUGCGCAGAUAUCAGGAGGAACACCGGUGGCGAAGGCGGAUCUCUGGGCCAUUACUGACGCUGAGGAGCGAAAGCGUGGGGAGCGAACAGG